GCGUGUGUGAAGAAGGUCUUCGGAUUGUAAAGCACUUUAAGUUGGGAGGAAGGGCAGUAAGUUAAUACCUUGCUGUUUUGACGUUACCGACAGAAUAAGCACCGGCUAACUCUGUGCCAGCAGCCGCGGUAAUA
Molecule: ribosomal RNA, 134 nt
Filed under: uncultured Pseudomonas sp.
Lineage: Bacteria; Pseudomonadati; Pseudomonadota; Gammaproteobacteria; Pseudomonadales; Pseudomonadaceae
Description: partial 16S ribosomal RNA
Rfam family: Bacterial small subunit ribosomal RNA
Source: RNAcentral